RNAcentral lists this ribosomal RNA (591 nucleotides) under Marinobacter sp. RNAcentral describes it as "bacterial SSU rRNA". It matches the Rfam family "Bacterial small subunit ribosomal RNA", at positions 45 to 628 of the family's 1533-position model. The record is from RNAcentral. Lineage: Bacteria; Pseudomonadati; Pseudomonadota; Gammaproteobacteria; Pseudomonadales; Marinobacteraceae.
AGCUUACACAUGCAAGUCGAGCGGUAACAGGGGGUGCUUGCACCCCGCUGACGAGCGGCGGACGGGUGAGUAAUGCAUAGGAAUCUGCCCAGUAGUGGGGGAUAGCCCGGGGAAACCCGGAUUAAUACCGCAUACGCCCUUUGGGGGAAAGCAGGGGAUCUUCGGACCUUGCGCUAUUGGAUGAGCCUAUGUCGGAUUAGCUAGUUGGUGGGGUAAAGGCCUACCAAGGCGACGAUCCGUAGCUGGUCUGAGAGGAUGAUCAGCCACAUCGGGACUGAGACACGGCCCGAACUCCUACGGGAGGCAGCAGUGGGGAAUAUUGGACAAUGGGGGCAACCCUGAUCCAGCCAUGCCGCGUGUGUGAAGAAGGCUUUCGGGUUGUAAAGCACUUUCAGUGAGGAGGAAAACCUUCUGGUUAAUACCCAUGAGGCUUGACGUUACUCACAGAAGAAGCACCGGCUAACUCCGUGCCAGCAGCCGCGGUAAUACGGAGGGUGCAAGCGUUAAUCGGAAUUACUGGGCGUAAAGCGCGCGUAGGUGGUUUGAUAAGCGAGAUGUGAAAGCCCCGGGCUUAACCUGGGAACGGCAUUU